RNAcentral lists this ribosomal RNA (253 nucleotides) under uncultured bacterium. RNAcentral describes it as "partial 16S ribosomal RNA". It matches the Rfam family "Bacterial small subunit ribosomal RNA", at positions 524 to 776 of the family's 1533-position model. The record is from RNAcentral.
UACGGGGGGUGCAAGCGUUGUCCGGAAUCACUGGGCGUAAAGGGCGUGUAGGUGGUCUGGUAAGUUUGUGGUGAAAGCACGGGGCUCAACCCCGUGUCUGCCGCGGAUACUGCUAGACUCGAGUGCUGUAGGGGCUGGUAGAAUGCCGGGUGUAGCGGUGGAAUGCGUAGAGAUCCGGCAGAAGACCGGUGGCGAAGGCGGCCAGCUGGGCAGUAACUGACACUGAGGCGCGACAGCGUGGGGAGCAAACAGG